Molecule: long non-coding RNA, 206 nt
Organism: Amphimedon queenslandica
Lineage: Eukaryota; Metazoa; Porifera; Demospongiae; Haplosclerida; Niphatidae
Exons: 2
Source: RefSeq, a predicted model, not a curated record
ACCCAAUCGCACACAACGGAUCCUCAGUCACAUUAACAAGCCAAAUAAACUCAAUAAUAGAUUCACUGAUUGAAUGGAAUGGUAAGCCAAGAGAAGACAAUGGAACAUGAUAGUAACUGGAGUCACGAACUUUCACUAUGUUGUUUAUGCCAACACUAAGACAAUGUAUUCUCAUUUAAUUAAGUUUGGUAUACUUAGUGAAGGAA